Long non-coding RNA from Brassica napus (rape), 1748 nucleotides. RefSeq lists it as uncharacterized. The transcript is spliced from 5 exons. Lineage: Eukaryota; Viridiplantae; Streptophyta; Magnoliopsida; Brassicales; Brassicaceae. The record is from RefSeq and is a predicted model, not a curated record.
CUCGGCGUCCAAAGUGAUAUCAUCUCUGAGGAGACCGAGGAUGGUUGCCUCGUAUAUGUGUUCAGUAGACUCUAUAAUACAAUAAUUCUGGCUGAAGCAACUGGUGACUUCCAUGAUAUCUUUUGUGUCGGUUGUUCCAACGACAUCGGCAUUUAUGGCGUAAGUGAUCCAAAUAGUUUCAGGGUUUUGAGGAGCGAACUCCAUGGACCGGAAGGAAGCGAUGAUGAGGUUUAGGAGUUGGUAUGUGCUAAAAAAAAAAGACUAUUUGAUGUAGAAGUAUAUAUGCUUUUGAAUUUCAUAUUACUUUGUAUAGUGUGUGAAUAGUCUCAAGAACAAAUGACAUAUUCUUCCUUUUGGGAUUUGAUGACAUUUGAAAGUUAUUACUUUUACACUUCUUCCAUGUGUACCAUGAAAUUAGCUAUCACUGGUGACAUGUGAACUGAGUCAUCUAUUUGACUUUGUUUUGUGUUAUUAUUUUGUCUGGCACAUUCUGUUUUCUUUUUCUUCUGAGAUCGUCAGGUUCAUUGAUAGCAAAGGAGGAGAAUGAGACUGAAUAUAUAGAGGUAUAGUUUAUUAGUUAAUUGUUACCAAUUUCCAGUGUUUCUAUUUGAGAUUUUCAACAAUUUGAAAGUGUAUCAACUAUAGUAUACCGGUUUUAUAAAUGAAUAUGGACACAUACACAUUAACAAAUACACUCAUACCACAACAAUCUGACAAUCAUACACCAGCGGGGUUUUUUGGUUUUGCGGCCUGUGUUUUAUUGUAAUUUAAGAUGUGACGACAAAUGUUAAGAACACAUACACAUCUGUUACUAUUGCUUCACACACGUACAAGAUCAACUUGACUAUUUUAAAUGUUCAAAACAAAAAUAAUAUCAGCCAAGAAAAAUAUGCAUUUGUUUAUUACGGAAAACAGAGUUUGACCGCUGAUGGAUCUCGAAAUCUAACUUAAAAAACAGGAUUAGGGUUUAUGUUAAUAAAUGUCUAAUAAAUCAUGUGUACCCUGAAAUUAGCUAUCACUAAUGACAUGUGAACUGAGUCAUCUAUUUGACUUUGUUUCGUGUUAUUAUUCUUGUCUGGCACAUUCUAUUUUCUUUUUCUUCUGAGAUCGUCAGGUUUCAUUGAUAGCAAAGGAGGAGAAUGAGACUGAAUAAAUAGAGGCGUCUAGUUUAUUAGUUGUUGUUACCAAUAUUUAGUGUUUCUUGUAAGAUUUUCAACAAUUUGAAAGUGUAUGAACUAUACUGUACCAGGUGUCUAAUGGUGAAUUUAUCUUCUUCACCUUUUACUAAAAAGCCAAGAAAAAAAAGUAGAAAGUAAAACGAAUUGGCUUUUUACAUUUGAUCUCACUUUGAAAGAGAUGAGUGAUAAAGAAUUAAAUUGUACAGCCUAAUUGAUAAGUUGGAUAUUACAUAAACUGGCGCAAUGCCCACCUAAAGGCCGAAACCUUGACUUAGUCUUAAACUCUUAACUACUUUUUAUCCUCCCUCGAAAAUACCUUAAUACUUUAUUAACCUCAAUUUGGAUCCAAUUGAUCUCAAACAAGUUACUUCCGUCAUAAACUGAACUAGAGUUUAUCCCGCACAUCGUGCGGGUAUAUUUUCAUUUUAUAAAUAUAUAAUUUUGAUAUUAUUAUAUAAAUUUAAAUAUACAAUUUAUAUCUUAGUGUUAUGUAUUUUAUAACUUUUUAAUUUUAUUGUUUAGGUUUCUUAUUACUUUAUUAAUGUAGGGGUUUGUUUUAUACAUUUUACC